This 213-nucleotide ribosomal RNA is filed under the name uncultured bacterium. Its description in RNAcentral is "partial 16S ribosomal RNA". It matches the Rfam family "Bacterial small subunit ribosomal RNA", at positions 28 to 239 of the family's 1533-position model. The record is from RNAcentral.
GAUGAACGCUGGCGGCGUGCCUAACACAUGCAAGUCGGACGGUGGCGACCUUUCGGGGUGACCACAGUGGCGCACGGGUGAGGAACACGUAGCUGACCUGCCCUGGAGCGCGGGAUAACCCUGGGAAACGAGGGCUAAGACCGCCUACGCUCGGCGACUGUAGAGGUCGUCGAGGGAAAACCUUCGGGUGCUCUGGGAGGGGGCGUGCGGCCC